This 569-nucleotide ribosomal RNA is filed under the name Grateloupia hawaiiana. RNAcentral describes it as "eukaryotic LSU rRNA". It matches the Rfam family "Eukaryotic large subunit ribosomal RNA", at positions 1304 to 1872 of the family's 3401-position model. Lineage: Eukaryota; Rhodophyta; Florideophyceae; Halymeniales; Halymeniaceae. The record is from RNAcentral.
AAUCAGCCCUGAAAAUGGAUGGCGCUUAAGCGGGCGACCGACACCAUGCCGUCUGUACAAGAUGAAUGUUUACAGAUGAGUAGGAGGACGUGGCGGUCGUGUCGAAGCAUGCGUGCGAACGCGUGUGGAACGGCCGCUAGUGCAGAUCUUGGUGGUAGUAGCAAAUAUUCAAGCGAGAUCCUUGAAGGGCGAAGCGGGGAAGGGUUCCACGCAAACAUUGAUUGGGCGUGGGUGAGUCGUUCCUAAGCCGAGUGGCAAUUGCUAAGUAGCGGCGAAAGGGAAGCAGGUUGACAUUCCUGCACACGGAUGUGGAGGCGGUGACGCUUUAAUGAGGGCGAAGACGCUGGCGAUGGCGCUGGGCAGAGAUUUCUUUUCUGUUUGACCGCUGAAGCGCCCGGUGUGGAAUCCGCUUGUCGGGAGAAACACGCGCGUUCGGGCAGAGCGCCGGGGCUAUUCCGGCGUCCAGCUCGCCAUCGACGGCCCUUGAAAAUUUGCCUGCUGGAAUAGUUUUUUUUAUUCUAUGAAGAUCCACGCCGUGGCGUACCGAUAACCGCAUCAGGUCCCCAAGG